Orcinus orca (killer whale) is the source of this 1671-nucleotide long non-coding RNA. RefSeq lists it as uncharacterized. The transcript is spliced from 4 exons. Lineage: Eukaryota; Metazoa; Chordata; Mammalia; Artiodactyla; Delphinidae. The record is from RefSeq and is a predicted model, not a curated record.
UCCAGGGAGGCUGUCCAUCUCUUCCCGCCACCCUGAGUCUCCACCCCGCAUUCACUCCCCCUCCUCCGCCCAGUGACCUCAGCCUGAGUAGUCCCGAAACUCUGCACUCCGAGUACUCCUUGGGGCGCUCCUGCCUCCCUGCCCCCUGGUUCUGGUCCUUUCUGUCCCUGGCCUGGGCUUGGCAGAGACAGGCCUGCCACCAGCCGCGAGAGGGAGCAGAUUCCUCCCGAGAAGCAGAAGGGCCGGGGUGGGUGUCCAGGAAGGAGCACGGGCAGAAAGAGGGAGGACAAGAGGGAAACGCGGGGGCCAUUUCUUCAAAGGCUAAUCAGCAUCUUCCGGCAGUGCCACGAGAAGCUGAGCUGAUAAUGAGCCCAGCUCGGGGCUGAUGCCUGAUUAAUGAAGAGGCCACGGGGCUGCAGAGCAGGGCCAGGAAAUUUUUAAUUAAAAUAAUCAAGACUCGGGGCUUCUCUGGACAAAUUGGAAGACCCCCUAACACCGGGCAUCCCUGACCACAGGGCAACAGUUAGCUGGGGCUGAGAAACAGCUGCUCCCUUCAAGGGUUCUAAUAUUCUAUAUCACGAAUACAGAAACUGAGGCUCACAGAAGCUAACUUCUCCAAGGCCACCCAGCCAAGGUUUGAGUCCAGACCGUCUGGCUCCCGAACCCACACACUUGACCACUCCACCGUACAGUCCCCAGCUGAGAGGAGACGCUGGAAUUUAGAGCCACAUUUUACAGCUGAAGAGACGAAGCCUAGGAAGAAAGAGUGAUUUCUGCCUUCUAUGCAGGACCUGAGGACACAGUGGGCUGGGAUCAGUGGAGGAGAGGCCACUGCCAUCACCCCCUAAGACCCUCUGACCUCCAGGUCCUCCCUGCUGCUGAAGUGGUCUUCCUAAAAUGCAGACUGCAUCGCAUCUUGCGGCUGGCCUUCACCUUCAAGAUAAAUCUGAACUACAGGCCUUUCUCCUCCCCACCUCCCAGAGCUUCCAGAACACGGCUCCAUGCUAUUGCACGCCUGCGCCGAAAAUGUCCCUUCCCAUCUCUUCAUCUGGAAAACUCGGCUUUCAAAACCCAGCUGGCAUUGUCACUUCCUCUAUGAGUCCACUCUGCCCCAGAGUUGGGUUCUCAGGUCCGGGCACCCCUGGCCUCUGGCCACACCUCACCGGUAGCACUUGUAUCAUUUGCGAUGGUUGGUUUUUGACUGUCUCUCCCACUAGUCCAAGGGUUCCUGAGAAGCAGGGAUUGUCGUUCGGCUGUGUUUCCCUCACACCUAGCUAGUGCCUAGCACAAAACUUAAAAAAAAAAAAAAAUUCGUGUGUGUGUGUGUGUUUAUAUGUAUUUUUAAUACUAAAGCUUGAACAAAUAAAAGGGGUGCAUGAAAGUCAGUCAGACUCAGGGACAGGGAGCUUCACAAACAAGGACAGAGACGCUCUGCCUUGCUGAUUAUGCGCCUCCCUCCAUAAUUCUGGGGGCCUGCUGUUUCCUGCCUCCUGGCCUUUGCACAUGCUGGUCCCUCUACCUGCAAUACCUUCCUGUCUCCGUCAUCUAAACAAAUCGAAAACUCAGCUCAGACCUUGCCUUCUCUAGGGAGCCCUCCCCUCCCCCACCCAGACAAGGCUGGGUUGGGCCUCCUUUUGUGCUCUCAUAGCACCCUGAUCAUUCAUCCACUGU